RNAcentral lists this transfer RNA (82 nucleotides) under Paragonimus westermani. RNAcentral describes it as "tRNA-Ser". It matches the Rfam family "tRNA". From Rfam's summary of the family: Transfer RNA (tRNA) molecules are approximately 80 nucleotides in length. Their secondary structure includes four short double-helical elements and three loops (D, anti-codon, and T loops). The record is from RNAcentral. Lineage: Eukaryota; Metazoa; Platyhelminthes; Trematoda; Plagiorchiida; Troglotrematidae.
GUCGCGAUGGUCGAGUGGUUAAGGCGUUGGACUUGAAAUCCAAUGGGGUUUCUCCGCGCUGGUUCGAACCCUGCUCGCGACU